RNAcentral lists this ribosomal RNA (228 nucleotides) under uncultured bacterium. RNAcentral describes it as "partial 16S ribosomal RNA". It matches the Rfam family "Bacterial small subunit ribosomal RNA", at positions 103 to 334 of the family's 1533-position model. The record is from RNAcentral.
CGGGUGAGUAAUGUCUGGGAAACUGCCUGAUGGAGGGGGAUAACUACUGGAAACGGUAGCUAAUACCGCAUAAUGUCUGCGGACCAAAGCGGGGGACCUCCGGGCCUCGCGCCAUCAGAUGAACCCAUAUGGGAUUAGCUAGUAGGUGGGGUAACGGCUCACCUAGGCGACGAUCCCUAGCUGGUCUGAGAGGAUGACCAGCCACACUGGAACUGAGACACGGUCCAG